AGUGAACGCUGGCGGUAGGCCUAACACAUGCAAGUCGAACGGCAGCACAGAGGAGCUUGCUCCUUGGGUGGCGGGUGGCGGACGGGUGAGGAAUACAUCGGAAUCUACUCUGUCGUGGGGGAUAACGUAGGGAAACUUACGCUAAUACCGCAUACGACCUACGGGUGAAAGCAGGGGAUCUUCGGACCUUGCGCGAUUGAAUGAGCCGAUGUCGGAUUAGCUAGUUGGCGGGGUAAGGGCCCACCAAGGCGACGAUCCGUAGCUGGUCUGAGAGGAUGAUCAGCCACACUGGAACUGAGACACGGUCCAGACUCCUACGGGAGGCAGCAGUGGGGAAUAUUGGACAAUGGGCGCAAGCCUGAUCCAGCCAUACCGCGUGGGUGAAGAAGGCCUUCGGGUUGUAAAGCCCUUUUGUUGGGAAAGAAAUCCAUCUGGUUAAUACCCGGGUGGGAUGACGGUACCCAAAGAAUAAGCACCGGCUAACUUCGUGCCAGCCGCCGCAGUAA
This 506-nucleotide ribosomal RNA is filed under the name uncultured bacterium. RNAcentral's name for it is "partial 16S ribosomal RNA". It matches the Rfam family "Bacterial small subunit ribosomal RNA", at positions 29 to 523 of the family's 1533-position model. The record is from RNAcentral.